AUGGGGAACUGCCUGCGGUCCGGCGGCAAGCCCCCAAGUCCACCGGCCACCAGGGAGAGCGGCGGCGGCGGCGGGAGGGAGGAGGAGUCGUUGGCGUCGUACCGCGGGUGGCCGAGCGCGGGCUCGGGCGGGCGUGUCCUGGACGCGCCGAGGCUGCGGGUGUUCACGCUGGCGGAGCUGCGGGCGGUGACGCGCGGGUUCAAGCCGGAGAUGGUGCUCGGGGAGGGCGGCUUCGGGCGGGUCUACAAGGGCUGGGUCGACGACCGCACCCUCCACCCGGCCAAGAGCUCCGCCGGCGUCGUCGUCGCCGUCAAGAGGCUCAACGCCGAGAGCGUCCAGGGCCUGCAGGAGUGGCAGUCGGAGGUGAACUUCCUGGGGCGGCUGCAGCACCCGAACCUGGUGAGGCUGCUGGGCUACUGCGGCGACGGCGAGGACCGCGACCUCCUCCUCGUCUACGAGUUCAUGCCCAAGGGCAGCCUCGAGAACCACCUCUUCCGAAGUACGCAAUCCACUCCACCAUGCAUGCAUCCAUCGCCAUUCAUCGAUCCAUCCACACGCUGCACUUUGCUCUUCGCUGACCUCUCCUCGACCCAUGCAUGGCGCAGGGGGCGGCUCGUUCGAGCCGCUGUCGUGGGCGACGAGGCUGAAGAUCGCCGCGGGCGCGGCGCGGGGGCUGGCGUUCCUGCACUCGCCGGAGACGCAGAUCAUCUACCGGGACUUCAAGGCGUCCAACAUCCUCCUCGACCACGACUUCGCCCCCAAGCUGUCCGACUUCGGGCUGGCCAAGAGCGGGCCGGCGGCGGGGCGGUCGCACGUCACCACGCGGGUCAUGGGCAGCUACGGCUACGCGGCGCCCGAGUACGUCGCCACGGGCCACCUCUACGUCAAGAGCGACGUCUACGGCUUCGGCGUGGUGCUGCUGGAGCUGCUCACGGGGCUCCGCGCGCACGACCCCAACCGGCCCACCCACCAGGCCAACCUCGUCGAGUGGGCGCGCCCCUACAUCGCCGGCGGCAGGAAGCUCACCGGGCUCAUGGAUCAGAGGCUUGCCGGCCAGUACCCGCCCAAGGCGGCGCUCCGGGCCGCCAGGCUCGCGCACCGCUGCCUCUGCGGCGACCCCAAGGCCCGGCCCUCCAUGGACGACGUCGUCGCCAAGCUCGAGGAGAUCGACGCCAGAGGGAGCCGCGGACUCGCUCCCGCCGAGGCCGCGGCCCGUCCCGGCGGCAGCACAAAGGUCGCCGUACCGCGGUUCCUCCAACUCCAAGCCGGCCUGACGACGAACUGAUAAUUCCAUCAGUUAACGAACGGUCUUUCAUUAGUUUCUGA
RNAcentral lists this ribosomal RNA (1326 nucleotides) under Triticum aestivum (bread wheat). Its description in RNAcentral is "partial small subunit ribosomal RNA". The record is from RNAcentral. Lineage: Eukaryota; Viridiplantae; Streptophyta; Magnoliopsida; Poales; Poaceae.